UACGUAGGGUGCGAGCGUUGUCCGGAUUUAUUGGGCGUAAAGAGCUCGUAGGCGGUUCGGUAAGUCGGGUGUGAAAACUCUGGGCUCAACCCAGAGAGGCCACCCGAUACUGCUGUGAUUAGAGCGCGGUAGGGGAGCGGGGAAUUCCUGGUGUAGCGGUGAAAUGCGCAGAUAUCAGGAGGAACACCGAUGGCGAAGGCAGGUCUCUGGGCCACUACUGACGCUGAGACGCGAAAGCGUGGGGAGCAAACAGG
This 254-nucleotide ribosomal RNA is filed under the name uncultured bacterium. Its description in RNAcentral is "partial 16S ribosomal RNA". It matches the Rfam family "Bacterial small subunit ribosomal RNA", at positions 524 to 776 of the family's 1533-position model. The record is from RNAcentral.